AACGAACGCUGGCGGCAGGCUUAACACAUGCAAGUCGAGCGCCCCGCAAGGGGGACGGCAGACUGGUGAGUGACGCGUGGGGACGGACCGUGUGGUACGUAGCAACUUCGGGAUACGGGGGCGAAAACGGGGGAAGACCUAACGUGGUAAGGUUUAUCGCCUAAGGGUGGGCGCGCGGGUGAUUAGCUCGUUGGGGAGGUAACGGCGCCCCAGUGGGACGAGCAGUAGCUGGUCUGAGAGGCUGACCAGGCACACGGGGGGUGAGACACGGCGCAGACUGCUACGGGAGGCAGCAGUGGGGAAUACUGGCCAAUGGGCGCAAGCCUGAACCAGCCAUGGCGCGUGAGUGAUGAAGUCGUUAGGGUUGUAAAGCUCUUUUGUCCGCGACGAUACUGACGGUACCGGAAGAAUAAGCCCCGGCUAACUUCGUG
This 431-nucleotide ribosomal RNA is filed under the name uncultured bacterium. RNAcentral describes it as "partial 16S ribosomal RNA". It matches the Rfam family "Bacterial small subunit ribosomal RNA", at positions 28 to 507 of the family's 1533-position model. The record is from RNAcentral.